GACGAACGCUGGCGGCGUGCUUAACACAUGCAAGUCGAACGGAAAGGCCCUGCUUGCAGGGUACUCGAGUGGCGAACGGGUGAGUAACACGUGGGUGAUCUGCCCUGCACUUCGGGAUAAGCCUGGGCAACUGGGUCUAAUACCGGAUAGGAGCCAUUUUUAGUGUGAUGGUUGGAAAGUUUUUUCGGUGUAGGAUGAGCUCGCGGCCUAUCAGCUUGUUGGUGGGGUAAUGGCCUACCAAGGCGGCGACGGGUAGCCGGCCUGAGAGGGUGGACGGCCACAUUGGGACUGAGAGACGGCCCAGACUCCUACGGGAGGCAGCAGUGGGGAAUAUUGCACAAUGGGCGCAAGCCUGAUGCAGCGACGCCGCGUGGGGGAUGACGGCCUUCGGGUUGUAAACUCCUUUCGCUAGGGACGAAGCUUUUUGUGACGGUACCUAGAUAAGAAGCACCGGCUAACUACGUG
This 465-nucleotide ribosomal RNA is filed under the name uncultured bacterium. RNAcentral describes it as "partial 16S ribosomal RNA". It matches the Rfam family "Bacterial small subunit ribosomal RNA", at positions 28 to 507 of the family's 1533-position model. The record is from RNAcentral.